CAGCAGCCACGGGAAUACGUAGGGUGCGAGCGUUAAUCGGAAUUACUGGGCGUAAAGCGUGCGCAGGCGGUUGUGUAAGACAGGUGUGAAAUCCCCGGGCUUAACCUGGGAACUGCGCUUGUGACUGCACAGCUAGAGUAUGGCAGAGGGGGGUGGAAUUCCACGUGUAGCAGUGAAAUGCGUAGAGAUGUGGAGGAACACCGAUGGCGAAGGCAGCCCCCUGGGCCAAUACUGACGCUCAUGCACGAAAGCGUGGGGAGCAAACAGGAUUAGAUACCCGAGUAGUCCCUGUCUCUUAUAC
RNAcentral lists this ribosomal RNA (301 nucleotides) under uncultured bacterium. RNAcentral describes it as "partial 16S ribosomal RNA". It matches the Rfam family "Bacterial small subunit ribosomal RNA", at positions 509 to 807 of the family's 1533-position model. The record is from RNAcentral.